This 253-nucleotide ribosomal RNA is filed under the name uncultured bacterium. RNAcentral's name for it is "partial 16S ribosomal RNA". It matches the Rfam family "Bacterial small subunit ribosomal RNA", at positions 524 to 776 of the family's 1533-position model. The record is from RNAcentral.
UACAGAGGUGGCAAGCGUUGUUCGGAAUUACUGGGCGUAAAGGGCGCGUAGGCGGUUCGUUAAGUCCUGUGUGAAAUCCCCCGGCUCAACUGGGGAACUGCACAGAAAACUAGCGGGCUUGAGUUCGGGAGAGGGAAGCGGAAUUCCGGGUGUAGCGGUGAAAUGCGUAGAUAUCCGGAGGAACACCGGUGGCGAAGGCGGCUUCCUGGACCGACACUGACGCUGAGGCGCGAAAGCUAGGGGAGCAAACGGG